AAACUUUGCAAUGUGCGAAAGCACGACAAGGUUAAUCCGAGUGAUUCCUGCUAAAGGAAUCUUUUGUUAGUCAUAAUACCACUGAUGAAUAAGGGGUGGGCAAGUUCUGGUGUCAGCCGCCGCGGUAAAACCAGCACCUCAAGUGGUCAGGAGGAUUAUUGGGCCUAAAGCAUCCGUAGCCUGCUCUGUAAGUUUUCGGUUAAAUCUAUAUGCUCAACAUAUAGGCUGCCGGGAAUACUGCAAAGCUAGGAAGUGGGAGAGGUAGACGGUACUCCGUAGGAAGGGGUAAAAUCCUUUGAUCUAUGGAUGACCACCUGUGGCGAAGGCGGUCUACCAGAACACGUUCGACGGUGAGGGAUGAAAGCUGGGGGAGCAAACCGGAUUAGAUACCCGGGUAGUCCCAGCUGUAAACUAUGCAAACUCAGUGAUGCAUUGGCUUGUGGCCAGUGCAGUGCCGCAGGGAAGCCGUUAAGUUUGCCGCCUGGGAAGUACGUACGCAAGUAUGAAACUUAAAGGAAUUGGCGGGGGAGCAC
RNAcentral lists this ribosomal RNA (533 nucleotides) under uncultured archaeon. RNAcentral describes it as "bacterial SSU rRNA". It matches the Rfam family "Archaeal small subunit ribosomal RNA", at positions 345 to 879 of the family's 1478-position model. The record is from RNAcentral.